RNAcentral lists this ribosomal RNA (443 nucleotides) under uncultured bacterium. Its description in RNAcentral is "partial 16S ribosomal RNA". It matches the Rfam family "Bacterial small subunit ribosomal RNA", at positions 338 to 795 of the family's 1533-position model. The record is from RNAcentral.
CCUACGGGCGGCAGCAGUGGGGAAUAUUGGGCAAUGGGCGCAAGCCUGACCCAGCAACGCCGCGUGAAGGAAGAAGGCUUUCGGGUUGUAAACUUCUUUUCUCAGGGACGAAGAAAGUGACGGUACCUGAGGAAUAAGCCACGGCUAACUACGUGCCAGCAGCCGCGGUAAUACGUAGGUGGCAAGCGUUAUCCGGAUUUAUUGGGUGUAAAGGGCGUGUAGGCGGGAGCGCAAGUCAGAUGUGAAAACUCAGGGCUCAACCCUGAGCCUGCAUUUGAAACUGUGUUUCUUGAGUGCUGGAGAGGCAGACGGAAUUCCUAGUGUAGCGGUGAAAUGCGUAGAUAUUAGGAGGAACACCAGUGGCGAAGGCGGUCUGCUGGACAGCAACUGACGCUGAGGCGCGAAAGCGUGGGGAGCAAACAGGAUUAGAUACCCCAGUAGUC